Molecule: small RNA, 81 nt
Filed under: Pseudomonas lundensis
Lineage: Bacteria; Pseudomonadati; Pseudomonadota; Gammaproteobacteria; Pseudomonadales; Pseudomonadaceae
Description: isrK
Source: RNAcentral
GUCGCUGCCAAAUCAGCGACCCGGUUUAGUAGCCUGAAUAUCACACGGCGCAAUGCGCCACCUCCGCGAGGCGCUUUUUUU